RNA transcript from Zea mays, 154 nucleotides. RefSeq lists it as uncharacterized. The record is from RefSeq and is marked validated. NCBI's taxonomy places the organism in Eukaryota, Viridiplantae, Streptophyta, Magnoliopsida, Poales, Poaceae. The transcript is spliced from 2 exons.
GCUGGAACAACGCACAGUACUGCUUUAAUAGCUGAUGGUGCUCUUUUCUACUGGGUUUCAUCAGAUCCUGAUCUAAAAUGCCAGCAGAUAUUUUCAAUGUGUGGAAGGAAUAUUGUGAACAUCUCGGCUGGAAAGUACUGGACCGCUGUGGCUA